CUGUAACAUAUACUGAGAAAGACUUUUUA
This 29-nucleotide non-coding RNA is filed under the name Mus musculus (house mouse). Lineage: Eukaryota; Metazoa; Chordata; Mammalia; Rodentia; Muridae. The record is from RNAcentral.